RNAcentral lists this ribosomal RNA (322 nucleotides) under uncultured eukaryote. Its description in RNAcentral is "partial 18S ribosomal RNA". It matches the Rfam family "Eukaryotic small subunit ribosomal RNA", at positions 1470 to 1796 of the family's 1831-position model. The record is from RNAcentral.
CCCUUAGAUGUUCUGGGCCGCACGCGUGCUACACUGAGUGGAUCAGCGGGUCAGGUUGCGCGAAAGCGUUUCCUAAUCUUUAAAUCCGCUCGUGAUGGGGAUUGACGGUUGCAAUCUUCUGUCAUGAACGAGGAAUACCUUGUAAGCGCGGGUCAUCAUCCCGCGCUGAAUACGUCCCUGCCCUUUGUACACACCGCCCGUCGCUCCUACCGAUUGAGUGGUCCGGUGAGGCUUUGGGAUCUGAGCGGAAAGAGCGUUUCGCUGUUUCUGCUCGGAAAACUCAGUCGAACCUUAUCAUUUAGAGGAAGGAGAAGUCGUAACA